AUACGUAGGUGGCAAGCGUUAUCCGGAAUUAUUGGGCGUAAAGAGGGAGCAGGCGGCAGCAAGGGUCUGUGGUGAAAGCCUGAAGCUUAACUUCAGUAAGCCAUAGAAACCAGGCAGCUAGAGUGCAGGAGAGGAUCGUGGAAUUCCAUGUGUAGCGGUGAAAUGCGUAGAUAUAUGGAGGAACACCAGUGGCGAAGGCGACGAUCUGGCCUGCAACUGACGCUCAGUCCCGAAAGCGUGGGGAGCAAAUAGGAUUAGAUACCCUAGUAGUCCACGCCGUAAACGAUGAGUACUAAGUGUUGGAUGUCAAAGUUCAGUGCUGCAGUUAACGCAAUAGGUACUCCGCCUGAGUAGUACGUUCGCAAGAAUGAAACUUAAAGGAAUUGACGGGG
RNAcentral lists this ribosomal RNA (392 nucleotides) under uncultured bacterium. RNAcentral describes it as "partial 16S ribosomal RNA". It matches the Rfam family "Bacterial small subunit ribosomal RNA", at positions 523 to 918 of the family's 1533-position model. The record is from RNAcentral.